GUCGCUAAAGGAUGGACCUGCGAUGCAUUAGCUAGUUGGUUAAGGGUAACGGGACGUUACCAAGGCGAUGAUGCAUAGCCCGAGUUGAGAGACUGAUCGGGCCACAUUGGGACUGAGACACGGGCCCAAACUCCUACGGGAGGCAGCAGUAGGGGGAAAUCUUCCACAAUGGACGAAAAGUCUGAUGGAGCAAACGCCGCGUGAGUGAAGAAGGUUUUCGGAUCGUAAAAAGCUCUGUUGUUGGUGAAGAAGGAUAGAGGUAGUAACUGGCCCUUUAUUUGACGGUAAUCAACCCAGAAAGUCACGGGCUAACUACGUGCCCAGCAGCCGCGGUAAAU
Molecule: ribosomal RNA, 338 nt
Filed under: uncultured Lactobacillus sp.
Lineage: Bacteria; Bacillati; Bacillota; Bacilli; Lactobacillales; Lactobacillaceae
Description: bacterial SSU rRNA
Rfam family: Bacterial small subunit ribosomal RNA
Source: RNAcentral